Molecule: non-coding RNA, 191 nt
Organism: Camelina sativa (false flax)
Lineage: Eukaryota; Viridiplantae; Streptophyta; Magnoliopsida; Brassicales; Brassicaceae
Source: RefSeq, a predicted model, not a curated record
GGCGAUCUUGGGAAAACUCUAAGAACAGCUGGAUCCAAUGUCAUCUUUGUUGCUCUCACUGAAAUCUCCGACUCUGUUCUGAGAGGUGCAGAAAUGAAAGGUGUUGACGGACUGGUUAGCGGUUUCCACCAUGGAAUCCUUAAACUGGCGAUGGAACCUUCAGUGAUAGGAACAGCUUUGAUGGAAGGUGG